Molecule: ribosomal RNA, 523 nt
Filed under: uncultured bacterium
Lineage: Bacteria
Description: partial 16S ribosomal RNA
Rfam family: Bacterial small subunit ribosomal RNA
Source: RNAcentral
GACGAACGCUGGCGGCGUGCCUAAUACAUGCAAGUCGAACGCUUUUUCUUUCACCGGAGCUUGCUCCACCGAAAGAAAAAGAGUGGCGAACGGGUGAGUAACACGUGGGUAACCUGCCCAUCAGAAGGGGAUAACACUUGGAAACAGGUGCUAAUACCGUAUAACACUAUUUUCCGCAUGGAAGAAAGUUGAAAGGCGCUUUUGCGUCACUGAUGGAUGGACCCGAGGUGCAUUAGCUAGUUGGUGAGGUAACGGCUCACCAAGGCAACGAUGCAUAGCCGACCUGAGAGGGUGAUCGGCCACACUGGGACUGAGACACGGCCCAGACUCCUACGUGAGGCAGCAGUAGGGAAUCUUCGGCAAUGGACGAAAGUCUGACCGAGCAACGCCGCGUGAGUGAAGAAGGUUUUCGGAUCGUAAAACUCUGUUGUUAGAGAAGAACAAGGAUGAGAGUAAAACGUUCAUCCCUUGACGGUAUCUAACCAGAAAGCCACGGCUAACUACGUGCCAGCCGCCGCAGUAA